CCCUUAGAUGUUCUGGGCCGCACGCGCGCUACACUGAUGCAUUCAACGAGUUUUUCCUGGUCCGAGAGGAAUGGGUAACCUUUUGAAAGUGCAUCGUGCUAGGGAUAGACUAUUGCAAUUAUUGGUCUUCAACGAGGAAUUCCUAGUAGACGUAGUUCAUCAGACUGCAUCGAUUACGUCCCUGCCCUUUGUACACACCGCCCGUCGCUCCUACCGAUUGGAUGGUUUAGUGAGAUCCUCGGAUUGGUCCCGGAGCGGCCUCUGGUCGUGCCGGAGUGCCGAAAAGAAUGUCGAACUUGAUCAUCUAGAGGAAGUAAAAGUCGUAACA
RNAcentral lists this ribosomal RNA (328 nucleotides) under uncultured eukaryote. Its description in RNAcentral is "partial 18S ribosomal RNA". It matches the Rfam family "Eukaryotic small subunit ribosomal RNA", at positions 1470 to 1796 of the family's 1831-position model. The record is from RNAcentral.